RNAcentral lists this long non-coding RNA (987 nucleotides) under Lepidothrix coronata (blue-crowned manakin). RNAcentral's name for it is "lncRNA (ENSLCOG00000013861.1)". Lineage: Eukaryota; Metazoa; Chordata; Aves; Passeriformes; Pipridae. The record is from RNAcentral.
GGGGCCGCUCCCCGCGCCGGGCCCCGCGGCGGGGCCGCAGCCGGGGGCCGAGGAGAUCGACAUGUCCCUGGAUGACAUCAUCAAGCGCCACAGGAAAGAGCAAACAGAUUCCAGCACCUCAGGCGACAGCAGGAGCCAGCAGGUCAAGAACAGGAGUUCAGCCUUCGGGUACGGGCGGCCCCCCCGUUACGGUGCCUGGAAGCAGAGGAAUUUGCAAGGACCUAACCGUUUCAGAAGAGGGUUUGGACAGCAACAAUACAAUAGGAGACAAUUCAGGAAUACUUUGCCUGGUCGCAAGAGAAGAGCAGCUGCUGCCUUCAAUGGAGUGAGCCCUUUAAAUCGCCAGGCAUCAGCUCAGGAGGGCAACAAGAACAGCAAUGCUUUUGCCAAAAGCAGCAGCGGGCAGCAGAAGGACCAGGCACAGCCAUCUCCAGGCCCCAAGAGAUUCAGAGCAGAUGCUGCCAGCACCCAGACCCCAGGGAAAAGGCCUUUCCGGCUAAACAGGGGACCAGCGUUCCAGCAGAAGCGGGCGCAGCAGUGGUUCUCCAAAGCCCGCUUCCAGAGAGGGCAGAUGGAUGCUCAAGGAGAAGGGAAACCGCCAAGGAUGAGAAGGUGGCAAGUGAAACCCAGCCCGGGAGCAAUUCUGACGGUUUCUGUGGUUAAUCCCCAGGCGGGCCAGAGCAGCGGGCCUGGAUCCAAGCGCCCGUUCCUGCGAAGCCAGAGACCCCCAGCACGGGUGACCAAGCCCCAGCCCAAGGGGGUGAUGCUGAGAUUCAACUUCCGUGCCAUGGCCAACCAGACCAGCCUGACGCUGGAUGAGAGGUUCUCUGGUCUGAGGAAUAAGAGGCGCUUUACAGCAGCCAGGAGCGCCGGACGGACGGUCACCAUGCCCUAGGACAGCGUGCUCGUCACAGGGACUGCCCCCAACAGUCCAGGCCCUGGCAGGGGCUCAAUAAAAGUCGCUAGAUUCCCUUUGAGAUAGCUGAU